RNAcentral lists this ribosomal RNA (510 nucleotides) under uncultured bacterium. RNAcentral describes it as "partial 16S ribosomal RNA". It matches the Rfam family "Bacterial small subunit ribosomal RNA", at positions 28 to 507 of the family's 1533-position model. The record is from RNAcentral.
GACGAACGCUGGCGGCGUGCUUAACACAUGCAAGUCGAACGAAGAGCGAUGGAAGCUUGCUUCUAUCAAUCUUAGUGGCGAACGGGUGAGUAACGCGUAAUCAACCUGCCCUUCAGAGGGGGACAACAGUUGGAAACGACUGCUAAUACCGCAUACGAUCUAAUCUCGGCAUCGAGGAUAGAUGAAAGGUGGCCUCUACAUGUAAGCUAUCACUGAAGGAGGGGAUUGCGUCUGAUUAGCUAGUUGGAGGGGUAACGGCCCACCAAGGCGAUGAUCAGUAGCCGGUCUGAGAGGAUGAACGGCCACAUUGGGACUGAGAUACGGCCCAGACUCCUACGGGAGGCAGCAGUGGGGAAUCUUCCGCAAUAGACGUAAGUCUGACGGAGCAACGCCGCGUGAGUGAUGACGGCCUUCGGGUUGUAAAGCUCUGUUAAUCGGGACGAAAGGCCUUCUUGCGAAUAGUGAGAAGGAUUGACGGUACCGGAAUAGAAAGCCACGGCUAACUACGUG